Molecule: long non-coding RNA, 342 nt
Filed under: Gossypium barbadense (sea-island cotton)
Lineage: Eukaryota; Viridiplantae; Streptophyta; Magnoliopsida; Malvales; Malvaceae
Description: long non-coding RNA (GBAR_LNC003113)
Source: RNAcentral
GUAGAUGUGCCCGAUCGUGAAUUGGAGUAAUUUGAAAGCUUUACAAAAUAGGCUAGAAGAAAAGGAAUUAUUUAGGCUCAAAAGAGUUUUGUUGGUUUAGGAAAUGAAUUAGAAGACAAUGGAUGUAAUUUGGCUAAGGAUUCAAAAGCCGAACUAACACAAUAGUAGUGUGUUAACCCGUAACUUAUGAGAAUGCUUAGGUUGGUAAGGUGUCAAUGGAAGGUUUGUUAAGUGGAUAGAAACUUCGACCCACUAUCAAAAAUGAUAGGAACCUCAGUACGAAUCGAACGCCACACUUUCGGGAUUAAAGUGAUAAGUUCGGAUAGAAAGACGGGUUGACGC